GAUGAAUGCUGGCGGCGUGCCUAACACAUGCAAGUCGAGCGGCAGCGCGAGUAGUUUACUACUUGGCGGCGAGCGGCGGACGGCUGAGUAACGCGUGGGAACGUACCCCAAAGUGAGGAAUAACUGCCCGAAAGGGUGGCUAAUGCCGCAUAUGGUCUUCGGAUUAAAGGAUUUAUCCGCUUUGGGAACGGCCUGCGUACGAUUAGAUAGUUGGUGAGGUAAUGGCUCACCAAGUCUACGAUCGUUAACUGGUCUGAGAGGAUGAUCAGUCAGACUGGAACUGAGACACGGUCCAGACUCCUACGGGAGGCAGCAGUGAGGAAUCUUCCACAAUGGGCGAAAGCCUGAUGGAGCAACGCCGCGUGCAGGAUGAAGGCCUUCGGGUCGUAAACUGCUUUAUAAGUGAAGAAUAUGACGGUAGCUUAUGAUAAGCACCGGCUAACUACGUG
Molecule: ribosomal RNA, 449 nt
Filed under: uncultured bacterium
Lineage: Bacteria
Description: bacterial SSU rRNA
Rfam family: Bacterial small subunit ribosomal RNA
Source: RNAcentral